ACGUACACUCCUACGGGAGGCAGCAGUGGGGAAUAUUGCACAAUGGGCGCAAGCCUGAUGCAGCCAUGCCGCGUGUAUGAAGAAGGCCUUCGGGUUGUAAAGUACUUUCAGCGGGGAGGAAGGCGAUAAGGUUAAUAACCUUGUUGAUUGACGUUACCCGCAGAAGAAGCACCGGCUAACUCCGUGCCAGCAGCCGCGGUAAUACGGAGGGUGCAAGCGUUAAUCGGAAUUACUGGGCGUAAAGCGCACGCAGGCGGUCUGUCAAGUCGGAUGUGAAAUCCCCGGGCUCAACCUGGGAACUGCAUUCGAAACUGGCAGGCUAGAGUCUUGUAGAGGGGGGUAGAAUUCCAGGUGUAGCGGUGAAAUGCGUAGAGAUCUGGAGGAAUACCGGUGGCGAAGGCGGCCCCCUGGACAAAGACUGACGCUCAGGUGCGAAAGCGUGGGGAGCAAACAGGAUUAGAAACCCCGGUAGUCCCAU
This 478-nucleotide ribosomal RNA is filed under the name uncultured organism. RNAcentral describes it as "partial 16S ribosomal RNA". It matches the Rfam family "Bacterial small subunit ribosomal RNA", at positions 329 to 798 of the family's 1533-position model. The record is from RNAcentral.